Molecule: non-coding RNA, 1960 nt
Organism: Physcomitrium patens
Lineage: Eukaryota; Viridiplantae; Streptophyta; Bryopsida; Funariales; Funariaceae
Source: RefSeq, a predicted model, not a curated record
GAUUUUUCCAAUGAGUCUUUGGUCCACUGCACAAUGAAGAUCAAAAGUGAGAACAUCAGUUAAACAGGAAUCUAAUUUCUAAUAAAGAAUCCACUCAUUCAAUUAUCUACUUUCGGAAGGCGCAGAAUUUUCACAAAUUGAGUACAAACGACCUAUCGAAAGAUUGAAGCAGACAAGACAUGAUAUGCACCUGAAGUUCUGUCUGAAGGUUGGUGGACUCUAGCAGGGCCUCUUUCAGUUGAUUAUCAAGCUGGCUUCUCUUCCUGGCUUCUUCGGCAGCUUUCUCCUCACUCUGAUUUUCAGACUUGAGAACAUCAGUAUUGAUUAUUCACCAAGAACAUAUUUACAUAACUCCAGUAGGAUGAGCAUAAAUAACGACUACAACCCAAGACAUUUACCUUCUUGAGCUGACUCUUAAGCUCAAUAACGUACUGCUCAUGCUGAGCUUGUUUCAACUCGAAGCAAUCCACUUCCAAGGCGUUCUCCUGCAAUGAAAUCGAAGCUUUGGCGUUCAUAUCUAGGCCCUCGACUUCUUGACACUUACUACACAGUAACACAAGCAUCGGAACUAUGAAGCCAAGGAAAAACAAACUGGCAAAAAGUAUAAUACCUGAACAUCUUGAAGUUCCUUUUUGUACUUGCCGCAAGCUACAUUCGCCCUUUCCAAUUCUUCACGUAACUCACCCAGCUGUCUGCGAGUACAGAAAAUGCUCGUGAUCUGCAUGAACUACUGCCGCAUUUUUUUUUGAUGACGACAUGACCAAACAAAGGGAAAAGCAGUUGAAAACCGUAAUCGUAAAAGAUUAUGUCAAAAAUGAGGAUAAAGUUAGUACAGAGAUCUAGUUCCUGUAAGAGGUAUAUGACAUCCUGCAGUUGAUACAAAGUAAGGAGAAUACUUCAAAUUCCAUACGCCUCAGAGAACCACCGUCAGCAGGUGGAGAAAAAAGGUGCCACUACAAACCAACAUCAAAUUACUGCACACUUAAUCAAGUACAUCCAAAUUAUCACCUCUGUAAGAAGAAGCUCCAGUUGGCGGCGCUCUGCAGAUGCAAGGGCAUCUUUCUGAGGACAAGAAAUGCUCAGCAAGUCAAAUCCAUUGGCAAAUCAGGAGCAGAAUGGAUUCAAGAGUACAGCAAGAUAUAAAGGACAUGCCAUCAUCGUAAAUCAUUGAAAAACAAACAAACCUGGGAAUCAACAAGAGGAUCGAGAGAAAGCUUGCAGUCUAGAAAGCCCACCAACUGCAAGAAUUGUGGGCACGUCAAAGUAAGCAGGGUUUGGGGGAAUGCACACCUUGAGACAACGAGUCAAAACCUAAGAUCAGUAGACAUUAAGAUCAAAGUUGGAACAUUGUAGACAAUCACUUACUUGAUCACGAAGAUCCGCGAUCUCUUGAGCCAUAACUUCUCGUUCUCCAUUGUUAUGGAAAUCUUCAAACCUACACAUGAGUGCGGUAUCAGAGGAGAGACGCAGAAUGAAGAGAAUGAGCAACCCGAAGCAUGAUAUACCAGGCAACAGCUGAGCAAGCUCAAAUUCUGAACAGAACCUCUUCCGCAACCGGCAUAACUCCAGUAACAAUCAAUAUACCCGCCAAGCAGCAGGCAGAGGAGGAAUAUUGAUUAACCUACCAAGCGAGUCAAGUGUUCAAUCUCAGUGGCUGAUCUCUUCAAUGAAUACUCCGCCGCCCGCUCGCGCCGAAGGGCACCCGCCAACACAGCUUCCAAGGACUUAAUCUGAGCUCUCAAAAGCAGCAGCACAGGAAUGUCAGCAAUUCGUCAGAUAAUCAGAAAAAGCACCACUAUGGAGACCAGCAGUCAGCAACAGUGGAGCCCAACGAGAAACAGGCUUUUUAGGUACCCAAAUCAUUCAAAUUAUGCACUUAUGAUUGACAACCUUUUUAUUAAGAACAGUGGGACUUUGAAGGGUAUUUCCAAAAUUUAAGAAAGAGCCUUCAAUGGAACUA